RNAcentral lists this long non-coding RNA (305 nucleotides) under Elaeis guineensis (African oil palm). RNAcentral describes it as "long non-coding RNA (EGUI_LNC080706)". The record is from RNAcentral. Lineage: Eukaryota; Viridiplantae; Streptophyta; Magnoliopsida; Arecales; Arecaceae.
ACCUAUGCUCAAAACUUUUCUCUCUUUCUCUCUUACAUGGAAAGUGAUUGUGGAUCAAGUCAAAGUAGGAAUUAGUUUGGAUUUCAAAUUCUAUGAGAUAGAGUUUUAGGAAACCAAAACUCUUUCCUUAUGGCACUGAUUUUACUCAAAUUUUUUUUGAGAUUUUUAUGACUUUUAUGGCACAUAAUAUACAUCCUUUGCUGGUAGUCCAUGUAUAAAAAGAAAGAGGGGGCACCCAAGAAUUGGGCCCCCCUUGUCUUGCCAUGUUUGGAUAAUCCUUGACUAGGUAUUUGACCUAGACAAGG